RNAcentral lists this transfer RNA (71 nucleotides) under Paraglaciecola psychrophila 170. It matches the Rfam family "tRNA". From Rfam's summary of the family: Transfer RNA (tRNA) molecules are approximately 80 nucleotides in length. Their secondary structure includes four short double-helical elements and three loops (D, anti-codon, and T loops). RNAcentral also lists the same sequence under 1 other name. Lineage: Bacteria; Pseudomonadati; Pseudomonadota; Gammaproteobacteria; Alteromonadales; Alteromonadaceae. The record is from Rfam by way of RNAcentral.
GGCGGAAUGGCAGAUUGGCUAUGCAGCGGAUUGCAAAUCCGUGUAUCUCGGUUCGACUCCGGGUUCCGCCU